GCCGUGAGCACAGUGAGAGCCUCGGUGAUGACGUACUUCCGUCACGCCUUCUGUCCGCCGAUGACGUGCUUCCGUCCCGCCUUCGUGUCCGCCUCCCUUUAUGGGCUUAUGAGUUUCUGCCUCAACUCCAGGCAUUUUUUUUUCUUUUGCCUCUAGCCCAGUUUUAGAAAGGACUAUGUCUUGGUCCUUCUUAAUGGUAUAAAAGAUAUCCUCAGCCCGCCAGAUGCUCCUGCAUUUGAGUGACGACACGCUUCUCUGGCUGUGACCAACUUUUCUCCCUUUCUUUUUAAAUGACAGGACUUCUUGUUCAAUACUUGCUGGAUAUGAAGAUCCAACCCAGUGCCUCCCAUUGCAUCCACUCCUCACACCACCGUCUCCAUGGCGUGACAGUUCCUCAGUUUUUCUUUGUUGUUCAUGACCUUCACCUUUUGGAAAGGUACUGGCCAGUCACUUUGCAAAAUGUUCCUCAAUUUGUGUUUGCUUGAUGUUUUCUCCUGAUUAAAGUGAUGCAUUUUGG
Molecule: long non-coding RNA, 517 nt
Filed under: Homo sapiens (human)
Lineage: Eukaryota; Metazoa; Chordata; Mammalia; Primates; Hominidae
Description: non-protein coding lnc-PQLC1-5:3
Source: RNAcentral